Ochotona princeps (American pika) is the source of this 1001-nucleotide long non-coding RNA. RefSeq lists it as uncharacterized. NCBI's taxonomy places the organism in Eukaryota, Metazoa, Chordata, Mammalia, Lagomorpha, Ochotonidae. The transcript has 3 exons. The record is from RefSeq and is a predicted model, not a curated record.
UUCUUAACACCUAUUUUGCUCCAUGGUAUCUUUUAUCAAUAUUAAUAUUUUUGAUACCUUUAUUGCUGGAAUACUUUAAAAUGUUUUAUCUCUGAGCAAUAUUUACAUAAUAAGCAUUGUUUAUGGACGUUGGCCUUAUACUCAUCCUAAGUGAUGAGUUGGUGUGAGCACUGCUCCACUGAGCAGUGAGCGGGUACCACAAUGGAGAAAAAGAUCAGCAAUGGACUCCACAUCCUCAGCACGACCAGGCGGCACAGGUGCAACGGGCAACACUGGCCCACCACAUAGAAAGCAGCAACCAAGUAGCCACCCCUUAAGGAAGACUUUACGGAUUGGAGCAUGAGCACUUUAAAGUGAUUCAAAAUUAUGGAGGAGCUACAAAGUUUAUAAAGUGCUUCAAUGCGUUACCAAUCAGAGCAGUAGUGGAACCAUUCCGAGGAGCUUGUAAUACCAUGCAUAGCCUGCUCAUCAUCAGCCCAGGUGUCACUCCUGGGCACGUGGGGCUUCCAGCAUUCCUGCCCAGAGACUCUCCAUCACGAAAAGCAGAGGAGCCACUGCUGAGGAGCCGGGAGAGUUUCGGCAGUGCUGGGAAGCUAAAAAGCAGGCUUCCCGGAAGGGACUGCAAAAAGUCUUUGUGAAGUGAAUUCAAGGUAUUGGGCCAGCUGAUGGAGACUGGAGUCAUCAAUCCUGAACAGUUUAUGACAUCUUUUGAGCAUAUGAAGAAAUCUGGGGAUUAUUAGGAAACAGUUGUAGAAGAUGAGACUAUUGGACAGAUUGUUGCUACAGCAACUCUGAUACUAGAACAUAUAUUCAUCCAUUCCUGUGCUGAGAGAGUAAAAGAUUUUGUCCUUAUUGAUGAGUGCAGAGGGAAGCAGCUCUGUACACUUAUUAACAAUUCUUGCUUUGCCAAACAAAAAACUGUUACAAGAUUACACUUGAAUGUCUACCACAAAAUGUUGGUUUCUAUAAAAAGUUUGGAUAUGCAGUAUUUGAAGAAAACU